Molecule: ribosomal RNA, 492 nt
Filed under: uncultured bacterium
Lineage: Bacteria
Description: partial 16S ribosomal RNA
Rfam family: Bacterial small subunit ribosomal RNA
Source: RNAcentral
AGUGAACGCUGGCGGUAGGCCUAACACAUGCAAGUCGAACGGCAGCACAGUAAGAGCUUGCUCUUACGGGUGGCGAGUGGCGGACGGGUGAGGAAUACAUCGGAAUCUACUUUUUCGUGGGGGAUAACGUAGGGAAACUUACGCUAAUACCGCAUACGACCUACGGGUGAAAGCAUGGGAUCUUCGGACCUUGCGCGAUUGAAUGAGCCGAUGUCGGAUUAGCUAGUUGGCGGGGUAAAGGCCCACCAAGGCGACGAUCCGUAGCUGGUCUGAGAGGAUGAUCAGCCACACUGGAACUGAGACACGGUCCAGACUCCUACGGGAGGCAGCAGUGGGGAAUAUUGGACAAUGGGCGCAAGCCUGAUCCAGCCAUACCGAGUGGGUGAAGAAGGCCUUCGGGUUGUAAAGCCCUUUUGUUGGGAAAGAAAAGCAGCAGGUUAAUACCCCGCUGCUCUGACGGUACCCAAAGAAUAAGCACCGGCUAACUUCGUG